Molecule: ribosomal RNA, 464 nt
Filed under: uncultured bacterium
Lineage: Bacteria
Description: partial 16S ribosomal RNA
Rfam family: Bacterial small subunit ribosomal RNA
Source: RNAcentral
GACGAACGCUGGCGGCGUGCUUAACACAUGCAAGUCGAACGGAAAGGCCCCAGCUUGCUGGGGUACUCGAGUGGCGAACGGGUGAGUAACACGUGGGUGAUCUGCCCUGCACUCUGGGAUAAGCCUGGGAAACUGGGUCUAAUACCGGAUAGGACCGUGCUUUAGUGUGUGCGGUGGAAAGUUUUUCGGUGCAGGAUGAGCCCGCGGCCUAUCAGCUUGUUGGUGGGGUAAUGGCCUACCAAGGCGGCGACGGGUAGCCGGCCUGAGAGGGUGUACGGCCAAAUGGGGACUGAGACACGGCCCAGACUCCUACGGGAGGAAGCAGUGGGAAUAUUGCACAAUGGGCGCAAGCCUGAUGCAGCGACGCCGCGUGGGGGAUGACGGCCUUCGGGUUGUAAACCCCUUUCGGCAGGGACGAAGCUUUUGUGACGGUACCUGCAUAAGAAGCACCGGCUAACUACGUG